UCCACUCCCAUCCCCCAACCCCCUCCAGCCAACCUGUCUCCACUCCCACUCUCCCAUCCCCCCAACCCCCUCCAGCCAACAUGUCUCCACUCCCAGUCCUGUUCUGUGACCUUGGGCUUCUACUUCGCGCCUGAGCCAUUGUUACUCCUAGACGUUUCCACUUCAUAAUAACAGUACUUACAGUUGACCGGGCAGGGAGCUCUAGCAGGGCAGCUCUAGCAGGGCAGCUCUAGCAGGGCAGAAAUUUGAUGAACUGACUUGUUGGAAAGGUGGCAUCCUAUGAUGGUGCCACGUUGAAGGUCACUAAGCGCUUCAGUAAGGCCAUUCUACUGCCAAUGUUUGUCUAUGGAGAUUGCAUGUCUGUGUGCUCGAUUGUAUACACCUGUCAGCAACAGGUGUGGCUGAAAUAGCCAAAUCCACUCAUUUGAAGGGGUGUCCACAUACUUUUGUAUAUAGAGAGUAUUUAAGACAUUGGCUCCAAUCUAGGUUGUGCCUUUAGAUUAGGAGAAAAUUAACAACUAAGGAAGAAUUCUUCACUUCUCUCAUUGACUUGUCAAACCCCCAAACCCUGGCCUGGUCCUCUUGGUCUGUUUCACAAGCGUUCCCGGAAGUCUCUGAUGUUGCGCUUCUGGGUCCAGAAACUGUGAUUUUUCUGUUACUGCUUUUGCCAAAGUAUAUUUACGGUAUUUCGAUACAAUUGAGGCUUUCAGUCCAUAUUUAUACGUCUUUAUUAGUGGUUUUUUUUCAUCUGUUUUGUAUUUAUUACAGUUUUUUUUUUACUACAAAGUAUUGUGUAUUUGACUCGCCUGUGGUGCCAGGUAAUAUUGAACGUUCAGACAUCGUGGGCGGCAGGUAGCCUAGCGGUUUCGAUCGUUGCGCCACAUGUUGAAUAUGUUCAGUAGUUCUCCAAAUCCUGAAGCUACUUUUCCUUGAUACAUGUUGAAUUUGGAUUACAUUUGGGAUUUUUUGGUUUGUUGUACCAAAACUCCCUGUACUGUGUACUUUAUAACUGAGCUUCAUGUCCAGUUUUUUUCAUAACGCUCUCAUUGCCACAAAUCAUAUAAGAUACUUCAAAAUAUAUAAUAAUUACUUAGAACUUUUAUUUAUACUCAUUCAUUUCCUAAUACUUCCAAACAUGUUGUUGAACUGUAUUGUAAAAUAUGAUUCUGCUUGUUACAUGUAAGGGCAUAAGAGGAGGUAGAGGAAGAGGUAGAGGUAGAGGAGGUAGAGGUAGAGGUAGAGGUAGAGGUAGUGGUAGAGGUAGAGGUAGAGGAGGUAGAGGAGGUAGUGGUAGAGGUAGAGGAGGUAGAGGUAGUGGUAGAGGUAGAGGUAGAGGAGGUAGAGGUAGAGGUAGUGGUAGAGGUAGAGGAGGUAGAGGAGGUAGAGGUAGAGGUAGAGGUAGUGGUAGAGGAGGUAGAGGUAGUGGUAGAGGUAGAGGUAGAGGUACUCAAUCAUUCAAAGACACCUGCUGUGUGCCUCAAUGUGUGAAGAUCAGGAAUCUGCAAUGUUUGGGGAUUUUACCAACUAUCUUUACUGCAAUAUACAUACUUAAAAAAAAAGAGUCUUUCCUUGAAAUCUACAGGAACUUGUUGGACCGUUUUCUGAAAUAAUGAAACAUGCAAACAUGUUCCAGACAUUAUGUGAGUGUUACUAUAAAUAUGGGGUAUACAGUACAAACAUGCACAAAAGGGUUAUUUUAAUUUUGAUGGGAGACGUAUAAACAAUGUAAACAGUGCUAGGUGUAGGGAAUAGGGAGCAGUUUCACCCCCUAGGUCUCUGUGUAGGGAAUAGGGAGCAGUUUCACCCCCUAGGUCUCUGUGUAGGGAAUAGGGAGCCGUUUCACACCCUAGGUCUCUGUGUAGGGAAUAGGGAGCAGUUUCACCCCCUAGGUCUCUGUGUAGGGAAUAGGGAGCAGUUUCACCCCCUAGGUCUCUGUGUAGGGAAUAGGGAGCCGUUUCACCCCCUAGGUCUCUGUGUAGGGAAUAGGGAGCAGUUUCACCCCCUAGGUCUCUGUGUAGGGAAUAGGGAGCAGUUUCACACCCUAGGUCUCUGUGUAGGGAAUAGGGAGCAGUUUCACACCCUAGGUCUCUGUGUAGGGAAUAGGGAGCCGUUUCACACCCUAGGUCUCUGUGUAGGGAAUAGGGAGCCGUUUCACACCCUAGGUCUCUGUUGAGAGAAACGUAAUUUGAAUCAUCAGUACAGUAAGGGGAUCUUGUUACAGUGAAACAGACGGAAACGGCCUGGAUACAAAAAAUAAAAAAUAAAAACAUUUGCAAAAAAGGUGCAAGUGAUGCUUUUUGAAGUAAAUGAUAGGCUGGCUAAGCCAAACAGUUAUAAUGUGGCACAAUUAUUUCCUGUUUUUCAUGAAUUCGAAAACUUUGUAUGUUUUAUUGUCAACAGGAGUAUUACUGUAAUUAUUAUUAUUAUUAUUAUUGAUUAUUGUUAUGACUAUUACUAAUAUUAGUGGCAGGCCACUGGGUAACAUUGUAUGUCGAUAUCCAAAUGAAAUCUGUGCAAGAUAAUGAUGCAAAAUGUUUAUGAGUUUUUAAAAACAAAUAAAAAAGGUAGACUACAGGACUGUGUCAUUACGGUUGUUGUAACUGUGAAACUCUGAGAUUAACAAAUAGUUGAUCUAAAUCAAUUAUUCAAUUAAUCAAUCAAAAUCAAUUAUGACACCUUUUAUAUGGGGUGGUUGGUAGCCUAGUUAUUAAAGCGUUGGACUAGUAACCCGAAAGGUUACUAGAUCAAAAUCCCCGAGCUGACAAGUUAAAAAUCUGUCGUUUCUGACCCUGAACAAGGGUCCCCUGGUAGGCAGUCAUUGUAAAUAAGAAUUUGUUCUUAACUGACUUGCCUAGUUCAAUAAAGGUUAAAUACAAAAAAAAAAGAUCAAUGUGUUUACUUUUUCCAUGUGUCAUCAGUAGGCCUACUGGAAUACAUUUGAAAAACAGGAAAGAAGAG
This 2958-nucleotide long non-coding RNA is filed under the name Salmo salar (Atlantic salmon). RNAcentral's name for it is "lncRNA (ENSSSAG00000113582.1, ENSSSAG00000119954.1)". Lineage: Eukaryota; Metazoa; Chordata; Actinopteri; Salmoniformes; Salmonidae. The record is from RNAcentral.